Molecule: ribosomal RNA, 399 nt
Filed under: uncultured bacterium
Lineage: Bacteria
Description: bacterial SSU rRNA
Rfam family: Bacterial small subunit ribosomal RNA
Source: RNAcentral
AACGAACGCUGGCGGCGCGCCUAAUACAUGCAAGUCGAGCGAGAAGGUGUAGCAAUACACUUGUAAAGCGGCGAACGGGUGAGGAAUACAUGGGUAAUCUGCCCUCGAGCUCGGGAUAACCAGUCGAAAGACUGGCUAAUACCGGAUAUGACCACAAGAUCUGAGGAUCAAGGGGUAAAAGGUUUUUUCGCUUGAGGAUGAGCCCAUGUGGGAUUAGCUAGUUGGUGUAGGUAACGGCUCACCAAGGCGACGAUCCCUAACUGGUCUUAGAGGAUGAUCAGUCACACUGGAACUGAGACACGGUCCAGACUCCUACGGGAGGCAGCAGUAGGGAAUAUUGCACAAUGGAGGAAACUCUAGAUGCAGCGACGCCGCGUGAGUGAUGAAGGCCUUCGGGUC